RNAcentral lists this ribosomal RNA (390 nucleotides) under uncultured Methylibium sp. Its description in RNAcentral is "bacterial SSU rRNA". It matches the Rfam family "Bacterial small subunit ribosomal RNA", at positions 97 to 483 of the family's 1533-position model. Lineage: Bacteria; Pseudomonadati; Pseudomonadota; Betaproteobacteria; Burkholderiales; Sphaerotilaceae. The record is from RNAcentral.
GGCGAACGGGUGAGUAAUACAUCGGAACGUGCCCGGUAGUGGGGGAUAGCCCGGCGAAAGCCGGAUUAAUACCGCAUACGACCUACGGGUGAAAGCGGGGGACCGCAAGGCCUCGCGCUAUCGGAGCGGCCGAUGUCGGAUUAGCUUGUUGGUAGGGUAAAGGCCUACCAAGGCGACGAUCCGUAGCUGGUCUGAGAGGACGACCAGCCACACUGGGACUGAGACACGGCCCAGACUCCUACGGGAGGCAGCAGUGGGGAAUUUUGGACAAUGGGCGCAAGCCUGAUCCAGCCAUGCCGCGUGCGGGAAGAAGGCCCUCGGGUUGUAAACCGCUUUUGUCAGGGAAGAAACGCUUCGGGCUAAUACCUCGGAGUAAUGACGGUACCUGAA